Molecule: ribosomal RNA, 322 nt
Filed under: uncultured eukaryote
Lineage: Eukaryota
Description: partial 18S ribosomal RNA
Rfam family: Eukaryotic small subunit ribosomal RNA
Source: RNAcentral
CCCUUAGAUGUUCUGAGCCGCACGCGUGCUACACUGAGUGGAUCAGCGGGUCAGGUUGCGCGAAAGCGUUUCCUAAUCUUGAAAUCCGCUCGUGAUGGGGAUUGACGGUUGCAAUUUUCUGUCAUGAACGAGGAAUACCUUGUAAGCGCGGGUCAUCAUCCCGCGCUGAAUACGUCCCUGCCCUUUGUACACACCGCCCGUCGCUCCUACCGAUUGAGUGGUCCGGUGAGGCUUUGGGAUCUGAGCGGAAAGAGCGUUUCGCUCGUUCUGCCCGGAAAACUCAGUCGAACCUUAUCAUUUAGAGGAAGGAGAAGUCGUAACA